Molecule: ribosomal RNA, 300 nt
Filed under: Triticum aestivum (bread wheat)
Lineage: Eukaryota; Viridiplantae; Streptophyta; Magnoliopsida; Poales; Poaceae
Description: partial small subunit ribosomal RNA
Source: RNAcentral
AUGGAGGUUGCCAGAAGCGUAGUCUUCGAUAGGACUUGCUAUCCCCCUCUUAUUCCGACAUUCUGCAGUUCAGUCCACAUAUGCUACCCUUUUCCAUUUGAUACCAAUGCAUACAUAUGUAGUGUAGUUCCUUGCUUGCGAGUACUUUGGAUGACUACUCACGGUUGCUUUGCUCCCCCCUUUUCCCCCUUUCCAUACCCGAUUGUUGCGACCAGACGUUGGAGUCCAAGAGCCAUAUGCCACCGUCGACGACGACUCCUACUACUCUGGAGGUGCUUACUACUACGUGCAGGCCGCUGA